CACGUAGGGGGCAAGCGUUGUCCGGAAUCAUUGGGCGUAAAGAGCUCGUAGGCGGCUCAGUAAGUCGGGUGUGAAACCUCCAGGCUCAACCUGGAGACGCCACCCGAUACUGCUGUGGCUAGAGUCCAGUAGGGGAGUGUGGAAUUCCCGGUGUAGCGGUGAAAUGCGCAGAUAUCGGGAGGAACACCAGCGGCGAAGGCGGCCAACUGGACGAAUACUGACGCUGAGACUCGAAAGCGUGGGGAGCAAACAGG
Molecule: ribosomal RNA, 254 nt
Filed under: uncultured bacterium
Lineage: Bacteria
Description: partial 16S ribosomal RNA
Rfam family: Bacterial small subunit ribosomal RNA
Source: RNAcentral